AAUACGUCCCGGCCUUGUACACACCGCCCGUCACACCACGAAAGUUUGCUGGACCAGAAGCCACCGGGUCUACCGGUGCCGAAGGUCUGGUCGAUGAUUGGGGUG
Molecule: ribosomal RNA, 105 nt
Filed under: uncultured bacterium
Lineage: Bacteria
Description: partial 16S ribosomal RNA
Rfam family: Bacterial small subunit ribosomal RNA
Source: RNAcentral